Long non-coding RNA from Fundulus heteroclitus (mummichog), 199 nucleotides. RefSeq lists it as uncharacterized. The record is from RefSeq and is a predicted model, not a curated record. Lineage: Eukaryota; Metazoa; Chordata; Actinopteri; Cyprinodontiformes; Fundulidae. The transcript has 2 exons.
UGAGGCUGCUGAGUCGGCAGUAUAAAGUCAGCUGCAGCCACACAGCAGUUUCAGUGCAAACCAUUUUCUUUUUCUAGGGGGCUGAUAACCUGGUCUGGUGCAUUUGCUGUCUUUGAGAUCAACAUGGCACUUCAGGGUGUGUUUAGGUAUUCCUGGCUGUGUCUCCUGCUCUUCAGCUUUGGCACAUGUUCCCCUGUGC